This 235-nucleotide ribosomal RNA is filed under the name uncultured bacterium. Its description in RNAcentral is "partial 16S ribosomal RNA". It matches the Rfam family "Bacterial small subunit ribosomal RNA", at positions 102 to 334 of the family's 1533-position model. The record is from RNAcentral.
CGACGGGUGAGUAACACGUAUCCAACCUGCCGUCUACUCUUGGCCAGCCUUCUGAAGGAAGAUUAAUCCAGGAUGGCAUCAUGAGUUCACAUGUCCGCAUGAUUAAAGGUAUUUUCCGGUAGACGAUGGGGAUGCGUUCCAUUAGAUAGUAGGCGGGGUAACGGCCCACCUAGUCAACGAUGGAUAGGGGUUCUGAGAGGAAGGUCCCCCACAUUGGAACUGAGACACGGUCCAA